UGCAACUGGCACAGAACGAAUCCCUCCACUUGGGUUCAAUGAGGAAGAGCUAAGAGAAAUGCAUGGACUGAAGCGGAAACAGCAGAGAGAUCCAGACAGAGCAGAACACCAGAUUCAUCAUUGAAGUAGGGGGAGCUAAUGAGCACCUGGGCAUCAUUUUACCACAGCCUAUGACCAGCAACCCGAAGUCUUCGGCCGUCAGGUCAUCCAGGGCAUAUCUGUGUCCUGUGUGAAUACAUGUUGGUGACAUUUUUCUGUGUUCCAAAAAACAGAUACUAUUUGAGAUAAGGCUUUGAUGUAACACUGAAUAUCUGAUUAUUCACAACCAAUAAGACAGUAACAUUUUAAAAUAUUUUUACAUAAUAUGCAGAGGCUGUGGAGCCACCACCAGCAUUGUGUGAAUGUUUGAAUUGAGUGUGACCAGAAAUUGUUACUGUGUUCUAACACUAGCCCUGUGCCUAAAUUAAGUGUCAUAAUUCUGUUUGCAAAUUUCCAGUAAAACACCUUGUCAAUGCCA
Long non-coding RNA from Micropterus dolomieu (smallmouth bass), 517 nucleotides. RefSeq lists it as uncharacterized. NCBI's taxonomy places the organism in Eukaryota, Metazoa, Chordata, Actinopteri, Centrarchiformes, Centrarchidae. The record is from RefSeq and is a predicted model, not a curated record. The transcript has 2 exons.